RNAcentral lists this ribosomal RNA (1751 nucleotides) under Pinus taeda (loblolly pine). RNAcentral describes it as "SSU rRNA". It matches the Rfam family "Eukaryotic small subunit ribosomal RNA". The record is from RNAcentral. Lineage: Eukaryota; Viridiplantae; Streptophyta; Pinopsida; Pinales; Pinaceae.
CCUGGUUGAUCCUACCAGUAGUCAUAUGCUUGUCUCAAAGAUUAAGCCAUGCAUGUCUAAGUAUGAACUAAUUCAGACUGUGAAACUGCGGAUGGAUCAUUAAAUUAGUUAUAGUUUUUUGAUGGUACCAUACUACUCAGAUAACUGUAGUAAUUCUAGAGAUAAUACGUGCACCAAGUCCCGACUCUUUGGAAGGGAUGCAUUUUUUAGAUAAAAGGUCGAUGCAGGCUUGCCCGCUUCUCCGGUGAAUCAUGAUAACUCGACGGAUCACCUAGCCCUUGUGCUGGCGAUGCUUCAUUCAAAUUUCUACCCUAUCAACUUUCAAUGGUAGGAUAGAGGCCUACCAUGGUGGUGAAGGGUGAUAGAGAAUUAGGGUUCGAUUCUGGAGAGGGAGCCUAAGAAACGGUUACCAUAUCCAAGGAAGGCAGUAGGCGUGCAAAUUACCCAAUCCUGACAUGGAAUGAGUACAAUCUAAAUCCCUUAACGAGGAUCCAUUAGAGAGCAAGUCUGGUGCCAUCAGCCAUGGUAAUUCUAGCUCCAAUAGCAUGUAUUUAAGUUGUUGCAGUUAAAAAACUCGUAGUUGGAUCUUGGGUCGUAAAGGUCAGUCUGCCUACUCGGUGUGAACCUGCCCUUCCGUCCCUUUUGUCAGCGACAUGCUCUUGGCCUUAAUUGGCUGGGUCGUGGCUCCGGUGUUGCUACUUUGAAAAAAUUAGAGUGCUCAAAGCAAGCUUAUGCUAUGAAUACAUUAGCAUGGAAUAACGUGAUAGGAGUCUGGUUGUAUUGGGUUGGCCUUCGGGACCGGAGUAAUGAUUAAUAGGGAUUGUCGGGGGCAUUCAUAUUUCAUUGUCAGAGGUGAAAUUCUUGGAUUUAUGAAAGACAGACCACUGCGAAAGAAUUUGCCAAGGAUGUUUUCAUUAAUCAAGAACGAAAGUUGGGGGCUCGAAGACAAUCAGAUACCAUCCUAGUCUCAACCAUAAAUGAUGCCGACCAGGGAUUGGCGGAUUUUGCUCUAAGGACUCCGCCAACAGCUUCUGAGAAAUCAGAGUGUUUGGGUUCCGAGGGGAGUAUGGUCGUAAGGAUGAAACUUAAAGGAAUUGAUGGAAGGGCACCACCAGGAGUGGAGCCUAUGGCUUAAUUUUACUCAACACGGGGAAACUUACCAGGUCCAGACAUAGUAAGGAUUGACAGAUUGAGAGCUCUUUCUUGAUUCUAUAGGUGGUGGUGCAUGGCCAUUCUUAGUUGGUGGAGUGAUUUGUCUGGUUAAUUCUGAUAACGAACGAGACCUCAGCCUGCUAACUAGCUAUGCGGAGGUUCCCCUUCGCAGCCAGCUUCUUAGAGGGACUAUGGCCGUUUAGGCCAUGGAAUUUUGAGGCAAUAACAGGUCGUGUGAUGCCCUUAGAUGUUCUGGGAUGCACACACGCUACAUUGAUGUAGCCAACGAGUUUUUCUUCCUAGUUCGAGAGGAUCACGAAAUCUUCUCAAAUUGCAUCGUGAUGGGGAUAGACCAUUGCAAUGAUUGGUCUUCAACGAGGAAUUCCUAGUAAGCACGUGUCAUCAACUCGUGUUGACUACAUCCUUGCCCUUUGUACACACCGCCCGUCACUCCUACCGAUUGAAUGAUCUGGUGAAGUGUUCGGAUUGUGUCGACGAUGGUGGUUCGCCACCGUCGACGUUGUGAGAAGUUCAUUGAAACUUAUCAUUUAGAGGAAGGAGAAGUCGUAACAAGGUUACCUUAGGUGAACCUGCGGUAG